ACCUUCUGUCAGUUGAAUUGGGCUUGAAUUGGGCCUGAUUCACAAUCAAUUAGGUCUGCUGAGACCAACUCAGCUUAAUUGGGUUCGGACCCAUUUUAAUUUAACUUAAAUUAGCUCGAAUUUAACCCAAUUUAUAGUUUAGGCUCGUCCAGACUUAGCCCAAUCUAAUUGAGCUCGGAUUUAGACUUAGCCCAGUCUAAUUGGGCUUGGGUUAGUCAAAUUUGGCUAAACCCAUUUCAUUUUUUUUUC
Molecule: long non-coding RNA, 249 nt
Filed under: Phoenix dactylifera (date palm)
Lineage: Eukaryota; Viridiplantae; Streptophyta; Magnoliopsida; Arecales; Arecaceae
Description: long non-coding RNA (PDAC_LNC003148)
Source: RNAcentral